CAUUGAGACAUUUUGUUCUCCUUUCUCCUUUACUGAGCAGUAGCAAAGAUUAUCGAGACUAAAUUGAAAGUCAUGAAAGAAGACAUAAACAACACCACCAUACAAAAUGUUACACUCAAACAAACCAUUACAGAUAGUACGAAAUGCAAUGAAAGACACAGGAAUUGGUACAACAAUAAAGACAGACACAUACCAAUGCAACCCUUCACCAUAGGCAAAACGGUCUACAGAAUAAGAAAUUAUGAAAAUACAACACUAAUUCUUGAACAUCAUUUCCAGUAAUUAGAUCCUUCUUCGUCUAUUGCUUCGAUUGCCUUUCUUUGACUUUCUUCUUCGCCUCAUCUCUUGUUGGUUUUCAACCAAAUUCACCAACCAUUUCGGCUUACCAAUUUGGAAAACAACAUAUCCCACGGACAUUCCGAACACCACUCUGCAUCCAUAACCUAUCAACACCACUUUCCAACCAAAAGCAAUGUUUGAUUUUGAGCCAUCUUUUUCAAGCGCAUUUGGAGGUGCUGGCUCAAUGAUGUUGCAACCUUUCGAGACCGGAAACCCACACAGUCCAUUAUUCCCUUCAUAUGAAUCAUUUCCAAAUGUGUUGAAUUGUUUUCCUUGAGGAAUCUGACCAUGGAGUUGAUUUUCAGCGACAUUGAAGGACGAAAGAAAUGGCAGAUCUGCCAAUCUAUUUGGAAUCGUCCCAGACAACCUGUUUGAAGAUAGGUCCAACCAUUCAAUACUUGUCAAAUUCCCUAUUGAUGUGGGAUACCACCAUUAAGGUUAUUAUGAGAAAGGUUGAGCCCUUUCAGUAAGUUAAGCUUCCCAAAAACCUUUGGAAUACCCCCUUCAAACUGAUUGUUUGAUAGAUCAAUGAUCAUCCACAUGGUGAAAAUUUUCACCAAUUCCAUAUAUUGUCCUUUCAUAACAGUUCCGAUGGAAUAGGUAUAGAAGCCAUUACCUCUCGGAACAUACAUCCCCAUGUACGACAUUGUACUCCCAAUCUUCUCUAGAUUUAUGAUACCCUUGAAGCUGUUGAUGUAUCUCACUGGUAGGGGUCCAGAAAAAUAAUUACUUGAGAGAAAAAAAAUUUGGAUUUUAGAGAAAAAAGGGCUAGACUUGGAGCUAUUGUCACAUAAGGAACCAUGCAUAUGAUUUGACUUCAAUACAAGAACUUGUAGCUGUGGAAGACUUCCCAACCAAUGAGGAAAUGUAUCAUUGAUCUUGUUCUUCUUCAGAUUCAAGAAUUGAAGGCUGUAGCUCAAAUUUUCAAAACAUUGCGGAAUUGUUCCGCUCAAGUUAUUGUGGGACAAAUCACGAAUUUGAAGAAAAGUGACAUUGCAUAUUAAAGAAGAGACCUCUCCAUUGAAACUAUUAUUUGAGAUCAGAAAGACAUUGAUCGUCGAAGCUGGAAUGGGAAGAUUUCCACGGAUCAAAUUGGAGCUUAAGUCAAGAACUGCAAUAUUCUUCCAUGGAAAGUGCUCAACUUCUGUCAAAGAGUUGUGAGAUACAUUUAAGUCAAAGAGCCAUUGCCCACCUCUUGCAUCCACUGUGGAAUCUUGCCUUCAAUUUUGUUGCAAGAGAGGUCCAAGCUUUCCAAACUUUUAAGCCCUUAUAAAAACUGGGGGAAUUCACUAAGAUUGAAAGAUGACAAACGUAAGUCUAUAAGAUUAGACAAUAUAUGGUUAACACAAGAAGUAGUAUUAAAUGUUAAGGAUAGGCUGUUAUAUGAAAGGUCGAGAAGUUUUAGAGUUGGAAGGUUUGAGAACAUGCGAAACUCUAUGACACCACUAAGAUUAUUUGAGGAUAAAAGGAGGUGGGUAAGAUUGAGAAGUUGGAAUAUUGAAGAUGGAAGAGGACCUUGGAGUUUAUUAUUGUUUAACCUUAUCAAUUCUAGUGUUUUGGAUUGGAAUUCUUUGAUAUGCCCACUGAAUUGUUUUUAGAGAGAUCUAUUGUUUAACCACGUUAUUUUUCAGUGACGGAUCGAGAAAUAAAACUUAGGGGGAGCAGGGGCGAAGUUAGAAAAUUAGUUUGGGGUAAUCGAAAUUAAAUUAUAUAUUUUUAUGAUAGUAAAAAUAGAAUUUCGUCAUUUUAAUAGCCUAUAUCUUUAUAAUUUUUAGAGGAUUAAAUUAAUUUUUUAUCAUUUGAGGGGGGCAAAGUGCAAUUUUACCGUUAUUAAUUUAAAAUUUUAUAAAUUAUAAAUGGCCUAAAUUUUAAAAAAAAAAUCAUUUUAGGGGGUUGAGACCCUGUCAGCCCUCUCCCUAGACCCACCCCUAGUCUUUUUGAUACAAUUUGGCAGUUUAAGUACUUAAUUAGUGCAAAAAAAAAAAAACUAGGGGCUCAAUAGCUUUUUUUUGAAAAAGUUUGAGAGCCUUUUUGAUCCAUUUUGGCAGUUCAAAUGCCCAAUUCAGUGCAAGAAAAGAAGUAGGGGCUUAAUUAUUUUUUUUUAAAAAAAGUUUGAGAGCCUUUUUACACCAUUGAACCUUUUUUAUACUAAUUGGUAGACGCGAAGUUAUAAAUAUUUAAUUGUUAAUGUAAUUUUUAGAAUUUCUAAAGAAUAAUAAUAUUUAAAAUCUUAUAAUUUUUUUUAUUUCAUGUGCAUAAAAAACUUAAAUAAAUAAGUGUUUAGAUUUAGAUUAAUCACGCUGUCCAUUUAUUCAUAUUCAUUCUAGAGGUAUAACUUUUAGUUAUUUUAUAUGUUUUUAUAAUUAAAAAUAAUGGUAUAAAAGUCGAUUAAGUUUUAGCUCAAUUGACAUAGACAUUGUUGUUGAGGAGGACCUAUUGGUAGUUCUAGGCAUUGUGUCAAAAUGAACUAUAUUUGAUAAGAACCUAUAAUGAAAUUAAUGUUAAAAAAAUAAUAGUAUAAAAAGCUAAUAUUUUUAUAAAAGUUUCAUUUUUUUUUCAGUUUUUGGAUUUUUCUCAUAUAAAAUUUUAGAAUUGUUUCUUGAAUUUUUAUAGCUUUUCUUAUUAUGAUGUUAUAUAAUUUUAGAUUUUUAUACAUCUUUAAUAUUUUUUUAGUUUUUUAUUGUUUCUCAAAUAAUGCUUGGUUGAUGUAGCUUGCCAAGUGGUAUCGUGUUAUUGGCUGUCAAUUUCAAUAAUAAAAAAAUUUGGAGUUGAUUAGUUAUGAACUAACUCGAUUAAUCAAUUCUAAAUUUAAGUACUAAUUAAGUCCAAAAAAAGUUCAAAUUUCAAUUCAUGCAAGUUGGAUGGCAAUGAAACGGGAUUGGGGUGCGAAUAUUGUCAAAUUCACUAUUGUUUCAUAGUUGAUGUGUUUUGUCCCAUCACUCACCCCCGCUCCACUAUGGAUGUUUAAUUUUGAAAACCACUCACCCCAUGGAUGUUGGAUGCAUCCAUCCCUGCUUCACGUCGUGCCAUUUCAAUUUAAUUUUUAUUAGUUUUUUUAAAAAUAUUUUCAAUUUUUUUUUAAUUUUAAAAUAUUUUCAAUCUUUUUAAAACUUAUAAAUAUUUAAACAUAAUUAUUCAAGAAAAACAUUUAAACAUAAAACAUAUGAGUUUUUUAUAACAUAUUUUUACCCUUUAAUAGUUAUAAAUAUACAAGGGUCGAAUAGUAAUUUCAAAUAGUGAAAUAGAGUGGAUUGGGACAAACAAUUACCAUAACUGCUACACUUAAUCAUCGUAAAAAAAAAAAAAAAAAAUCUAUUUCAUCCCCGCCCAUAUUCCCUUUUAAAAGGAUCUACUCUAAAUGAAACAAACCAAUUCAAAAUCCAUUUAACAUCCUAAAUUCUAAAACUAAUUUUGAUAUGAAGUCUCAAUUAAAUUCAAGUAAUAAGGUUUUUUGAUAUGGUUUACACUACUAACUUCUAUAUGAAAACAACAACCAUUUCCCAUGAUGUUUGCGGCUUACCAACAAAUCCUUGCAGAUUUUCAACGUAGAAGAAAAUCAUGAAAAUAAAAAAAAAAAAAAAAAAAAAACUCUGGUUGGGAUUUGUUUCAUAUGGAAAACAGAAAACAAAACUUAAGUUAGUCAAAAUUACCAACUCACUGCUGACAACAUUUUUGUUGUAACCAAACAUUUGGAAGAAAAUAAACACAAGAGCACGCCGUUGACCUGUAUUUCUUUUAUUCUUCAAUUCUAUUUCAUCUUUAAGCUGUAACCAAUGAUAAUCAAAUCUUGACUUGCAUAAAAACCAAAGAAAACAAAAUGAAUGCAGCAGAAUUUUCUACCACAAAUGAGUAGUAAUUUACAGAUAAUAAAAUUAUCGAAAAACUAUUGAGAGUCGAAUUUCAUAUUAAUUGUGGUAUCCAUGAACUAGAAUGUAUUAAAAAAAGAAGGAUAUUGACCUUGAGACUACUUGCAAUUUUCAAAAACACUCUCAAUUCCUCUCCCCCUCUUCGGGCACCGGCCCAAGAUCCUGCCAUUGGCUACCACGCCGGCCGCUAGUCGCCAGCGCCGGCGCCGUGCAUGGAGGAGGAGAGUCCAAAAAUAUCCUUUUUUUUUUCUCACAUGCAGAUCCUCGGCCUCCAAACACUCCGACGACGGCUACAAAGGUAAAAAGGCCUCUCAUUUUUUAUUUUUAUAAUGCUUCAAAAUAAAAAAAUAAAAAAAAGGGAAAAAAUCACCUUUAAAAAAAACUGAUUCCUGUUUUUUAUUUCUCUUUGUUUUUUUUUUUCCAAAAGAGAACUCCCUUAAUUUUUCAUCUUUUUUAGCCCUUAAACCUACGUUGUUUAUCAAUAACCUUAAACUUACAUUGUUUACCGGAUGAAAAAUUUAAUAUUUAUUAACUUUGCUAAGGUGCACAUAUGCAAUUUAUUUAAAUCUAAAAACUAUAAAAUAUCUUAAAAUUAAAACUAAAAGUUUUUAAACUACUUGAUUGCUCCUUUCUCCUUUACUGAGCAGUAGCAAAGAUAAUCGAGACUAAAUUGAAAUCCAUGAAAGAAGACAUAAAACACCUCCAUACAAAGUGUCACACUCAAACAAACCAUUACAGAUAGUACGAAAUGCAAUGAAAGACAGAGGAAUUGCUACAAUAACAAAGACAGACACAUACCAAUGCAACCCUUCACCAUAGGCAAAACAAGAAAUUAUGAAAAUACAACACUAGUUCUUGAACAUCAUUUGCAGUAAUUAGAUCCUUCUUCGUCCACUGCUGCGAUUGCCUUUCUUUGACUUUCUUCUUCGCCUCUUCUCAUGUUGGUUUUCAACCAAAUUCACCAACCAUUUCGGCUUUCCAGUUUGGAAAACAACAUAUCCCACCAGCAUUCCGAACACUACUCCGCAUCCAUAACCUAUCAACACCACUUUCCAUUCAAAAGCAAUGUUUGAUUUUGAGCCAUCUUUUUCAAGCACAUUUGGAGGUGCUGGCUCAAUGAUGUUGCAACCUUUCGAGACCGGAAAUCCACAUAGUCCCUUAUUUCCUUCAUAUGAAUCAUUUCCAAAUGUGUUGAAUUGUUUUCCUUGAGGAAUCUGACCAUGGAGUUGAUUUUCAGAAACAUUUAAGGACGAAAGAAAUGACAGAUCUGCCAAUCUAUUUGGAAUCGUCCCAGACAACCUGUUUGAAGAUAGGUCCAACCAUUCAAGACUUGUCAAACUCCCUAUUGAGGAGGGGAUAUCACCAUUAAGGUUAUUAUGAGAAAGGUUGAGCCCUUUCAGUAAGUUAAGCUUCCCAAUAACCUUUGGAAUACCCCCUUCAGACUGAUUGUUUGAUAGAUCAAUGAUCAUCCACAUGGUGAAAAUUUUCACCAAUUCCCUAUCUUGUCCUUUCAUGACAAUUCCAAUGGAAUAGGUAUAGAAGCCACUACCUCGAGAAUCAUUCACCCCCAUGUACGACACCGUACUACCAAUCUUUUCUAGAUUUAUGAUAGCCUUGAAGCUGUUGAUGUAUCUCACUGGUAGGGGUCCAGAAAAAUAAUUACUUGAGAGGUCAAAAAUUUGGAUUUUAGAGAAAAAAGGGCUAGACUUGGAGCUAUUGACACGCAAGGAACCAUGCAUAUGAUUUGACUUCAAAACAAGAACUUGCAAAAAUGGAAGACUUCCCAACCAAUGAGGAAAUGUAUCAUUGAUCUUGUUGUUACCAAGAUCUAGCACUUCCAGACCAUUACAAUUAAGGAUGGAUGGUGUCAAAGGCCCUUCUAACAGAUUUCCAUUUAAGUUGAAAUUAGUCAGUUGGCAUCCCUUUGCAAAUGUUAGAGGAAUCGUCCCAUAGAACUCGUUCUUCUUCAGAUUGAAGACUUGAAGGAUGUUGCUCAGAUUUCCAAAACAUUGCGGAAUUGUUCCACUCAAGUAAUUGUGGGACAAAUCAAGAAUUUGAAGAUAAGUGGCAUUGCAUAUUAAAGAAGAGACCUCUCCAUUGAAACUGUUAUUUGAGAUCAAAAAGACAUUGAUGGUCGAAGCUGGAAUCGGAAGAUUUCCACGGAUCAAAUUGGAGCUUAAGUCAAGAAAUUCAAUAUUCUUCCAUGGAAAGUGCUCAACUUCUGUCAAAGAGUUGUGAGAUACGUUUAAGUAAGUCAAAGAGUCAUUCCCCACCUCUUGCAUCCACUGUGGAAUCUUGCCUUCAAUUUUGUUGCAAGAGAGGUCUAACCUUUCCAAACUUUUAAGCCCUUUUAAAAACUGGGGGAAUUCACUAAGAUUGCAAGAUGACAAAAAUAAGCUUCUAAGAUUAACAGUAGAUGUAGUAUUAGAUGUUAAGUAUAGGCUGUUAAAUGAAAGGUCGAGAUAUUUUAGAUUUGGAAGGUUUGAGAACAUACGUAACUCUAUGACACCACUUAGAUUAUUUGAGGAUAAAACGAGCAAGGUAAGAUUGAGAAGUUGGAAUAUUGAAGAUGGAAAAGGACCUUGGAGUUUAUUAUUGUUUAGAUAUAAAUGUUCUAGUGAUUUGGAUUGGAAUUCUUGGAUAUGCCCACUGAAUUGAUUUUGAGAGAGAAUUAUAACCUUUAAGGAGGGAGCAGUAUACAACCAUGACGGAAGUGUUCCAUUGAGUAAAUUGUCAGAUAAGCCUAAAUAUAUUAGAUUAGGAAAAGUGGUUACCUCAUCUGGAAUGGAUCCUUCUAAAGAAUUUUCAGAUAUUCCCAAGUAUUCCAGCUGGGUUAGGUUUAGAAUUGACAAUGGAAUUUGUCCACUCAAUUGGUUCUGCGACAAGUCUAAAUGAGUGAGUUGCAAGAGGUUCCCCAAUGAUAUUGGAAUUUGUCCACUCAAUUGGUUCUGCCACAAGUUUAAAUCAGUGAGUUGCAAGAGGUUCCCCAAUGAUCUUGGAAUUUGUCCACUCAAUUGGUUCUGCCACAAGUCUAAAUCAGUGAGUUGCAAGAGGUUGCCCAAUGAUCUUGGAAUUUGUCCACUCAAUUGGUUCUGCCACAAGCCUAAAUUAGUGAGUUGCAAGAGGUUCCCCAAUGAUCUUGGAAUUUUUUCACUCAAUUGGUUCUGCCACAAGCCUAAAUGAGUGACUUGCAAGAGGUUCCCCAAUGAUCUUGGAAUUUUUCCACUCAAUUGGUUCUGCCACAAACCUAAAUCAGUGAGUUGCAAGAGAUUCCCCAAUGAUCUUGGAAUAUUUCCACUCAAUUGGUUCUGCCACAAGCCUAAAUGAGUGAGUUGCAAGAGGUUCCCCAAUGAUCUGCCACAAGCCUAAAUGAGUGAGUUGCAAGAGUUUCCCCAAUGAUCUUGGAAUUUGUCCACUCAAUUGGUUCUCACACAAGUCUAAAUAAGUGAGUUGCAAGAGGUUCUCCAAUGAUCUUGGAAUUUGUCCACUCAAUAGGUUCUGUGACAAGUCUAAAUAAGCGAGUUGCAAGAGGUUCCCCAGUGAUCUUGGACCCGGUCCUGAUAAGUUGGAAUGGGAGAGAUCUAAAACCUUCAAGGACACAAGAUUCCCCAUCCAGUCAGGCAAUCCUCCAAAAAAAUUUGCGCCUCCAAGAAUCAACUACUCCAAAGAUGAUAAAUUUGUGAAUGAGACAGACAAUCCUUGAAAGAAGGAAUUUCCUGAGAGAUCUAAGUACUUUAAGGCCUGUAGAUUAUCAACUGAAUCAAUGAAUUCUGUAGAGAAGGACACGAACGACAGAUCCAAAUGUUCAAGAUUGCUGCUCCGAUUGAACUUCAAAGGAUCAAGAUUGAGGUUUUGGUUGCCUCCCAAGUUGAGGAGAUUGAGGUUUGGCAAAUCAAAAAUGUUUUUUGGGAAUUUUCCUUGCAAAUCACAAAAAGCAAGACUGAGAGACCUUAGAGAAGAGGAUAGAUUCAUGAAGACAUGAGCAUUAACAGAAGACAUGUCCAUUCCAUCCAAAAACAGAUGUCUGACCUCGGUUAGGUUGUGAACAAGUCCCUCCAGAGCAUGUUUGUCAAUUGUUUGUGCAUCACCCCAACAGGAGAGAUCAAGUGAAACCAAUUUUGACAGGUGGGAGACUUGGGAUGGGACUUCUCCUGCAAACCCUGUAUUGGAAAGGUUGAGGUAGAAUAGGCUUGUAAACCGACCUAAGUCGGAUGGAAUUUUGGAAAGAUUAAAAUCAUUGAAGGCAAGGUUGAGUUUUUGAAGGUGAGGAAGAAGGAAGAGAGUGGUAUUGGAAGGGAAGUUGCCAGAUAGCCAACUGCAGCUCAAGUCAAGGGCAAUAACAUGAGCAUUUAGGUGGUCACAAGUGACCCCAUCCCAUGAGCAGCAAUCUGUACCCUCCUUCCAUGAAUUUGUCUUGGGAUAAGAUUUAGGGCCGCAAGACGAAUAAGCAGCCUCUGUUAUGGAAAAAGAGUUCUUGAACUGGAUUAGUAAAGAGCAGGAGUGAGAUCCUGAAGAAGAAAAAGAAGCAUAAAGAUGGGGAAAGAAGAGGAAUAGGCAGAGAAAGAGACAGGGGGGCAUGUUAUGUUUGUAGAGGAAGAUGAAGGAUAGGAAUGGUAUUUAUAGGCAACAAAUAAUACAACAACAUUGGUGUUACAGUCUUUUUUAUUUUCUCGAGUUCUAUGAGUUUGUUUAAAUUCGCCGUGAAUACUCGAUUUUUUUUUACGUUUUUGAUUCAAAUACCGCUAAAAACAUUAAUCGGUUGCCAUUAAAUAUGUCAUUUUCUAUUAGCUGCAAGAAAACUAUCCGAUAAACUGCAUCUUCUUCUUUAGAUGAAAUUUUGUAAAAAAAAUUUGACAUUAUCUCUUAUAUGGUCCUUCAAUUUUAUUUAAAAAAUGAUUUUAACUCUCCAUUUAAUUUUUCAAACAAAUUAACGCAACAUUUUAGUUAUUGUCUACUGUCCAAUAAUGCCAUGUGUAUCAGUACAAACAUUCCCAUUUCUUUUUUUUUUUUUUCAUUUUCCCAAAAACUCAUUUCACUCUUAGCUUUAUAAAGAAAAAAAAAGUUAUUUUAGCCCUUAAUUUAAUUUUUCAUCUUCUUUAACCCUUAAACUUAUAUUGUUUAUCAAAUAACCCUUAAACUUGCAUUGUUUAUCAGAUGAAAAAAUUAAUAUCUAUUAACUUUGCUAACGUGCAUACAUAUGCAACCUCAUUUAAAUCUAAAAAAUAUAAAAAUAAUUAAAUAUGUAUAAAUCUAAAAAUAUCUUAAAAUUAAAACUAAAAUUUUUUAAACUAAUACAAAUUUUUAUUAUUUAAAAAAUCUUAAAAUUUUCAAAUUAAAUUCCAUUUGUUUUCCACCAUUGAAGAACACCUUCAAUCACAUCAACAACUUCAUACUAUUUUGCCUAGAAAUUGUUUUGCAAAUUUAUUUUGUUUAUUUAUUUCUAAACCCAUAUUUCUUUUCUAUAACCCCAAUGGUAGCAAAGGAAAUGUAAAAAAAAAAAAACUUAAAAAUCAAAUUUUUAAUGAUGAAGGGAAUUGAUUUAUAUUAAAACCAAGGAUUACACUGAAAAUACAAAGAGUUGAAGGUACUAAACAAGCAAAUAAACCCUAGCUACAGUGAUAAUUAACUUAACUAUCUACUAUUGGAACCAAGAAAAACUAAAAGAAAACAUGAAUUAAACCCUAGAGUUAUGAAGAAGAAAACAAAAACUCUAAAAAUAAAGAGAAAAAUUGAAAACCGUGAAAUGUUAAGUGUGCCCUUUGUUCAGCCAAUUUUUUGCCCUUUCUAGCAAAUUACAGAUCCAAAAAUAGUGACCAAAUUGUCUUUGAUGGUCUAAUUUUGGUUAGGGGGAAAAGGAUUACCCCUACGGUUAUUUUUUUGUCUCCUCCCAUCAAUGAUAUUGCGAUACCCAAAGUUUGGUAUCGCGAUAUCCACGACAGUCUUGAGGAUCCUUGGGAGUUUUGGGUAUCGCGAUACCUUAUGACCGUUAUCACGAUAACACUGUUGAUAUGCGGUACCCUCUUUCUAGGUGACAUUUUCGAUCCUUCUGAGCCACCAUGGGAUCUCUGCAUCACUCAUCAACCUCAUCAGAUUCCUCGGAUGCCAUUUGGCCAUCUCAGAUCUCAAAAUAGUAUCAAAAUGGACACUAAUCAUUUAUUAGUAUAAAGAACUAAAACUAAAUAAAAAAACGACAAAGAUAUCUAAAUUGCUUGAAAAUAAGUUUUUAAGUGUGAUGGAGAGCCUAAUUUGACAUAUCAAUUUACAACAGAUUAUAAACAUAAUUUGCGGAACCUUGUUAAAAUUUUGAUUUUCUUUAUUAGUUUCUUUCAAUAUUCUGUACGGUACAUUUGUAGUAAUAUAUUGUGCAGAUCAUAGACUACAUUGCUUUAUUAGUGUUCUAUUGUUAAUCUAUUAUUAUUAUUAUUAUUAUUAUUAUUAGCACCACUUCCUUUUUACCAUAUAAUUUUUAUUCAUAAAAAUGAAGAGUUGAUUUACUAAAGAAAGAAGAAGAAUUGAUGAGAUUAUAAAGUAUAUUGACUUGGUCUUGCUUCCUUUAUAUGUAUGAAUGUGGAAAUCGGCAUAAUGCCAACUUAUUUUCCACGCAGAGGAAGAAAAUGGUGCUCUCUUGUCACUCCCUUUAACUUGACAAAAUACAAGACAUGUGAUCCACCAAUGAAUGUUUGACUAUCUCCAUCUCACUUUUUAUUAAUCAAGGAAUAUAAACUUACUAUUUCAACAUUUCAUAAGCAAAAGCUAAAAUAAUAUUGGUCACAUCCCAUAUCUUCAUAAGACAAAAGUUAAAACAGCCUUCAGUUCAUCUACAUUCUACAUUCAUAUCAAUUGCACACAAAGUCAUAUCUGCAAGCAUCAAAUAUUAACCUUUCAACUCCAUAAUAACAACACCAAUUUCUAACAAUUGCAGAAGAAUGUCCAAUCAUUCCACACAAAUUAACAACAAUUUGUAGCAUCCACUACAUUCAUAUCAAUUCCACACAAAUUAAGACUGCAAUUUCUAACUUGUUUAUACCCUCAAUGAAGCUACCUAAAAGAUAUGAAUUUUUUAAUAUUAUAAAGUUAAGUGACCAAAACAUAAAUUUUCUACUAGAUUAGUACUUGAGGUGUAGUUUACCUUAUAAUAAAUAACUAUAAUAAAUUUGUGAAUCAAUUGCAUAAUUAAAUUAAGAUUUUCAAGCCUUUUACCAAACCAAACUUGAAAGGAGAAAAAGAAUCAUGAAAGAAUCCAGUUUUAAAAGCCUUUCACUUUUCCCAAGUCCAAUACACAAAUUCACAAGAUCCCACACUCUCAUUUAUCCUCUUCAAAAAGCAAGGUCCACAACAAAAGAUUAAUUUAGAUAUUAAUUAUUUUAUUUUAAUGGGAUAUAAUUUGAUAUUUUGUUUUUAUUUUAAUUAAGUGUGUUUAAAUUAGUGAUAUUUGUUAUAAUAAUUAAGUUAUACAUUCGGGAAGGUUGAUAAUAAUGUUCACACCAUAGAUGUUGUGAAGAGCCACUAAAAGUGACAAUUUAUCUAUGCUAAAAAGGUGUUUGAAUAGAGUAAUAUUGGACAAUGUCCUACCUCAAGACCCAAAAGGGAUGCCAAUUUAAGACCCAAGGAAGCCUUCGACUUAUCUCACUUGUGUAAGGAGCUAGAGUUAUCUCUUUACUAUUAACAACAUAAUUAAUCAUAUUCUAUAAUUCACCUUUAAGGUGUCUUAUUCACUUGUUUAGGUCAACUAUACCAAAUUCAGCAUUUUAUUUCGCCAAACCAAAAUUGUCAUUUGCCAUAUAGGGAUCGCCAAGCCUAUAAAAGCCAAAAUCUUUUCAAAGAUUUGCCUCGUUUAGCUCGAUUCUUCAAUUUAUCUUCUCAAUCUCAAUUAUUAACGUUUGUCUCUCUAACUUGCCUCCUCAAAUUUAAUCAUUAAAACUAAAUGCAUUACGUGCUCACCAUACUACAAGAACAUAAACUUAUUUAUUUCAAGAGGAUCACUUUAUAAAUUUCCAUCAAUUAGGGAAAAAUUAUUAUACCUCUAUAAGUAUAUUUUAAAAUAUGGCGAUAUUUCAAGAUAGCACCUAUCACAUUUCAAUAAAACUCAUUAUAUAUCUACCACCAUCAUAAUUAAGUAAUAGAGCAUCAUUCUAUAUGGACACACAUCAAGCUCAUUUCCUUUUAUGUUAAUUAUUCACGUAAUUCUAAUUUUCAAUUAUUUCCUUAAAUAUUAAAAAUAACUACUCUGUUAAUGCCAUGUAGCUAUUUUGAUUAAUGAUUUCCAUUUAAUUUGUUUUCCUCCUGACUUGGAAAUGUGGACUUGACAACAAAAUGAAAUUUGAGCAUGACACCUUAAUUUUGUGGUUGGUUUGACGAAUACUGAAGGUUGGUCAUCUUGAAACAUAUAUAAAAUUAAAUGAUUGAAUUAUUGAAAUUAUUAAAUAAAAUAAUUAUGAAAUUAGAAUUUAAGGUUAGAGGUUAUUUUUAGAAUUUUAAAUUUUCUUUUACUGCUAACUUGUAAAAAAAUUAUGAAAAUACAACAGAGAUCAUUGACACAUUUUGUUCUCCUUUCUCCUUUACUGAGCAGUAGCAAAGAUUAUCGAGACUAAAUUGAAAGUCAUGAAAGAAGACAUAAACAACACCACCAUACAAAAUGUUACAUUCAAACAAACCAUUACAGAUAGCACGAAAUGCAAUGAAAGGCAGAGGAAUUGGUACGAUAAUAAAGACAGACACGUACCAAUGCAACCCUUCACCAUAGGCAAAACGGUCUACAGAACAAUAAAUUAUGAAAAUACAACACUAAUUCUUCAACAUCAUUUGCUGUAAUUAGAUCCUUCUUCGUCUAUUGCUCCGAUUGCCUUUCUUUGACUUUCUUCUUCGCCUCUUCUCUUGUUGGUUUUCAACCAAAUUCACCAACCAUUUCGGCUUACCAGUUUGGAAAACAACAUAUCCCACCGACAUUCCGAACACCACUCCGCAUCCAUAACCUAUCAACACCACUUUC
RNAcentral lists this long non-coding RNA (13194 nucleotides) under Gossypium barbadense (sea-island cotton). Its description in RNAcentral is "long non-coding RNA (GBAR_LNC016783)". Lineage: Eukaryota; Viridiplantae; Streptophyta; Magnoliopsida; Malvales; Malvaceae. The record is from RNAcentral.